Ornithodoros turicata is the source of this 844-nucleotide long non-coding RNA. RefSeq lists it as uncharacterized. The record is from RefSeq and is a predicted model, not a curated record. NCBI's taxonomy places the organism in Eukaryota, Metazoa, Arthropoda, Arachnida, Ixodida, Argasidae. The transcript is spliced from 3 exons.
CGUGCGUCUGACCCUUUUUCUUGUUGUCUUGUCGCGUUUGCUUUGAAGUACUUUGAACUACAGCGUGUGGCCUAGGAUUUCACGCCGUUGACGUGCGAUGUCACAGCCAGGAAACCGGUGCUACGUGCUCGGGUGCAGAAAGACUUACAACGCGAAUCCCGAGCUUGCAUUUCACCGACCUCGCAAUGGCGAAACGAAACGAAAGUGGGAGGCAGCGAUCGCCAGCCACUACUAUGGUGUGGCCCAAGGAUUGAAUGUUUCACGCGUCUGUUCCUGUCAUUUCGCCGACGACGCCUAUUUUGAUGAAGAUGUAUUGCAAGUUCGGCUUGGGCUACGGCAGAAACAGAAGCGGCUGAAGAUUUACGCCGUGCCUAGCACAUUCGAUCAGGAACAAGGGCAGGAACCACGGAAGUAACGGAGGAAGUAACGGAGGCGGCAGCAAGCACGUCAACGGAAUCAACUGGAUUUGAUGUGAAGGUCAUGGCCGAAGCAAGUGCUGGGGACCCACUUCCCACUUCACGGCGCAUCUCACAAGGGGGUUGCCAUCCCCUGAUUCCAGGAAGAGGAAAACAAUGGACAGACUUGCAUAGCGCAUUAGUACACCAGAUAUGGAUCUGCCAGCAUGAACCCUCCACAUCCCUGUGGCAGCGUACCUGUAACCGCCCAGACUUCACACCACAUUAAUGUAGAACCACAGCACAACAUAAAAUAGCGUAGGUUUAUUUGCCUCCCAUACAUAAUGGGAGGCAAAUAAACCUCCGUUCAGCUUUGACAGGGCAUUUGUGGACAAGGAAAACAUUUGGACUCUGUGUGUUUUGCUACGAAGUGCACCGUACAAGGCAGA